CCGCGGUGCAUUAGCUAGUUGGUGAGGUAACGGCUCACCAAGGCCACGAUGCAUAGCCGACCUGAGAGGGUGAUCGGCCACAUUGGGACUGAGACACGGCCCAAACUCCUACGGGAGGCAGCAGUAGGGAAUCUUCGGCAAUGGACGAAAGUCUGACCGAGCAACGCCGCGUGAGUGAAGAAGGUUUUCGGAUCGUAAAACUCUGUUGUUAGAGAAGAACAAGGAUGAGAGUAACUGUUCAUCCCUUGACGGUAUCUAACCAGAAAGCCACGGCUAACUACGUGCCAGCAGCCGCGGUAAUACGUAGGUGGCAAGCGUUGUCCGGAUUUAUUGGGCGUAAAGCGAGCGCAGGCGGUUUCUUAAGUCUGAUGUGAAAGCCCCCGGCUCAACCGGGGAGGGUCAUUGGAAACUGGGAGACUUGAGUGCAGAAGAGGAGAGUGGAAUUCCAUGUGUAGCGGUGAAAUGCGUAGAUAUAUGGAGGAACACCAGUGGCGAAGGCGGCUCUCUGGUCUGUAACUGACGCUGAGGCUCGAAAGCGUGGGGAGCAAACAGGAUUAGAUACCCUGGUAGUCCACGCCGUAAACGAUGAGUGCUAAGUGUUGGAGGGUUUCCGCCCUUCAGUGCUGCAGCUAACGCAUUAAGCACUCCGCCUGGGGAGUACGACCGCAAGGUUGAAACUCAAAGGAAUUGACGGGGGCCCGCACAAGCGGUGGAGCAUGUGGUUUAAUUCGAAGCAACGCGAAGAACCUUACCAGGUCUUGACAUCCUUUGACCACUCUAGAGAUAGAGCUUCCCCUUCGGGGGCAAAGUGACAGGUGGUGCAUGGUUGUCGUCAGCUCGUGUCGUGAGAUGUUGGGUUAAGUCCCGCAACGAGCGCAACCCUUAUUGUUAGUUGCCAUCAUUCAGUUGGGCACUCUAGCAAGACUGCCGGUGACAAACCGGAGGAAGGUGGGGAUGACGUCAAAUCAUCAUGCCCCUUAUGACCUGGGCUACACACGUGCUACAAUGGGAAGUACAACGAGUUGCGAAGUCGCGAGGCUAAGCUAAUCUCUUAAAGCUUCUCUCAGUUCGGAUUGCAGGCUGCAACUCGCCUGCAUGAAGCCGGAAUCGCUAGUAAUCGCGGAUCAGCACGCCGCGGUGAAUACGUUCCCGGGCCUUGUACACACCGCCCGUCACACCACGAGAGUUUGUAACACCCGAAGUCGGUGAGGUAACCUUUUUGGAGCCAGCCGCCUAAGGUGGGAUAGAUGAUUGGGGUGAAGUCGUAACAAGGUAGCCGUAUCGGAAGGUGCGGCUG
This 1297-nucleotide ribosomal RNA is filed under the name Enterococcus faecium. Its description in RNAcentral is "bacterial SSU rRNA". It matches the Rfam family "Bacterial small subunit ribosomal RNA", at positions 231 to 1520 of the family's 1533-position model. The record is from RNAcentral. Lineage: Bacteria; Bacillati; Bacillota; Bacilli; Lactobacillales; Enterococcaceae.